UUCCGGGUUGAUCCUGCCAGAGGUCACUGCUAUCAGUGUUCGACUAAGCCAUGCAAGUCAAAUGUUCUUCGUGAACAUGGCGGACUGCUCAGUAACACGUGGAUAACCUGCCCUUAGGAUUGGCAUAACACCGGGAAACUGGUGAUAAUACCGAAUAGACCAUUUAUGCUGGAAUGCUUUUUGGUUCAAAGGCUUCGGCUGCCUAAGGAUGGAUCUGCGGCCUAUCAGGUAGUAGUGGGUGUAAUGUACCUACUAGCCUACGACGGGUACGGGUUGUGAGAGCAAGAGCCCGGAGAUGGAUUCUGAGACAUGAAUCCAGGCCCUACGGGGCGCAGCAGGCGCGAAAACUUUACAAUGCGGGAAACCGCGAUAAGGGGACACUGAGUGCCAGCAUAUUAUGUUGGCUGUCCACAUGUAUAAAAACCAUGUGUUAGCAAGGGCCGGGCAAGACCGGUGCCAGCCGCCGCGGUAACACCGGCGGCCCGAGUGGUGAUCACUUUUAUUGGGUCUAAAGGGUCCGUAGCCGGUUUGAUCAGUCCUCUGGGAAAUCUGACAGCUCAACUGUUAGGCUUCCAGGGGAUACUGUCAGACUUGGGACCGGGAGAGGUAAGAGGUACUACAGGGGUAGGAGUGAAAUCUUGUAAUCCCUGUGGGACCACCAGUGGCGAAGGCGUCUUACCAGAACGGGUCCGACGGUGAGGGACGAAAGCUGGGGGCACGAACCGGAUUAGAUACCCGGGUAGUCCCAGCCGUAAACGAUGCUCGCUAGGUGUCAGGGACGGUGCGACCGUUUCUGGUGCCGCAGGGAAGCCGUGAAGCGAGCCACCUGGGAAGUACGGCCGCAAGGCUGAAACUUAAAGGAAU
RNAcentral lists this ribosomal RNA (864 nucleotides) under uncultured euryarchaeote. Its description in RNAcentral is "bacterial SSU rRNA". It matches the Rfam family "Archaeal small subunit ribosomal RNA", at positions 1 to 865 of the family's 1478-position model. Lineage: Archaea; Methanobacteriati; Methanobacteriota. The record is from RNAcentral.